UGGGGGAAUUUUGGACAAUGGGGCGAAAGCCUGAUCCAGCAAUGCCGCGUGUGUGAAGAAGGCCUUCGGGUUGUAAAGCACUUUUGUCCGGAAAGAAAUCCUUGGCUCUAAUACAGUCGGGGGAUGACGGUACCGGAAGAAUAAGCACCGGCUAACUACGUGCCAGCAGCCGCGGUAAUACGUAGGGUGCAAGCGUUAAUCGGAAUUACUGGGCGUAAAGCGUGCGCAGGCGGUUUGCUAAGACCGAUGUGAAAUCCCCGGGCUCAACCUGGGAACUGCAUUGGUGACUGGCAGGCUAGAGUAUGGCAGAGGGGGGUAGAAUUCCACGUGUAGCAGUGAAAUGCGUAGAGAUGUGGAGGAAUACCGAUGGCGAAGGCAGCCCCCUGGGCCAAUACUGACGCUCAUGCACGAAAGCGUGGGGAGCAAACAGGAUUAGAUACCCUGGGUAGUCCACGCCCUAAACGAUGUCAACUAGUUGUUGGGGAUUCAUUCCUUAGUAACGUAGCUAACGCGUGAAGUUGACCGCCUGGGGAGUACGGUCGCAAGAUU
RNAcentral lists this ribosomal RNA (549 nucleotides) under uncultured bacterium. Its description in RNAcentral is "partial 16S ribosomal RNA". It matches the Rfam family "Bacterial small subunit ribosomal RNA", at positions 354 to 895 of the family's 1533-position model. The record is from RNAcentral.